This 253-nucleotide ribosomal RNA is filed under the name uncultured bacterium. Its description in RNAcentral is "partial 16S ribosomal RNA". It matches the Rfam family "Bacterial small subunit ribosomal RNA", at positions 524 to 776 of the family's 1533-position model. The record is from RNAcentral.
UACGGGGGGGGCAAGCGGUGUUCGGAAUUACUGGGCGUAAAGGGCGCGUAGGCGGUGGUCUAAGUCGGAUGUGAAAACUCUGGGCUCAACCCAGAGCCUGCAUCCGAAACUGGAGUGCUAGAGUUCUGGAGGGGGUAGCGGAAUUCCUGGUGUAGCGGUGAAAUGCGUAGAUAUCAGGAGGAACACCGGUGGCGAAGGCGGCUACCUGGACAGAAACUGACGCUGAGGCGCGAAAGCUAGGGGAGCAAACAGG